GACGAACGCUGGCGGCGUGCCUAGUACAUGCAAGUUGAGCGCUGAAGGUUGGUACUUGUACCGACUGGAUGAGCAGCGAACGGGUGAGUAACGCGUGGGGAAUCUGCCUUUGAGCGGGGGACAACAUUUGGAAACGAAUGCUAAUACCGCAUAAAAACUUUAAACACAAGUUUUAAGUUUGAAAGAUGCAAUUGCAUCACUCAAAGAUGAUCCCGCGUUGUAUUAGCUAGUUGGUGAGGUAAAGGCUCACCAAGGCGAUGAUACAUAGCCGACCUGAGAGGGUGAUCGGCCAAAUUGGGAAUGAGACAAGGCCCAAAAUCCUACGGGAGGCAGCAGUAGGGAAUCUUCGGAAAUGGACGAAAGUCUGAACGAGCAACGCCGCGUGAGUGAAGAAGGUUUUCGGAUCGGAAAACUCUGUUGGUAGAGAAGAAAGUUGGUGAGAGUGGAAAGCUCAUCAAGUGACGGUAACUACACAGAAAGGGACGGCUAACUACGUG
This 497-nucleotide ribosomal RNA is filed under the name uncultured bacterium. RNAcentral describes it as "partial 16S ribosomal RNA". It matches the Rfam family "Bacterial small subunit ribosomal RNA", at positions 28 to 507 of the family's 1533-position model. The record is from RNAcentral.